GAACGCUGGCGGUAGGCUUAACACAUGCAAGUCGUGCGAGAAAGUAUCUUCGGAUAUGAGUAGAGCGGCGGACGGGUGAGUAACGCGUAGGAAUCUACCUAGUAGAAGGGGAUAGCCCGAGGAAACUCGGAUUAAUACCGUAUACCUCCUUCGGGAGAAAGAAGGCCUCUCUUUGAAGCUUUCGCUACUAGAUGAGCCUGCGUAAGAUUAGCUUGUUGGUGAGGUAAAGGCUCACCAAGGCUACGAUCUUUAGCGGGUCUGAGAGGACGAUCCGCCACAUUGGGACUGAGACACGGCCCAGACUCCUACGGGAGGCAGCAGUGGGGAAUAUUGGACAAUGGGCGAAAGCCUGAUCCAGCCAUACCGCGUGUGUGAAGAAGGCCCUAGGGUUGUAAAGCACUUUAAGUUGGGAAGAAAAGUUAUUGGUUAAUACCCAAUAACCGUGACAUUACCAUCAGAAUAAGGACCGGCUAAUUCCGUGCCAGCAGCCGCGGUAAUACGGAAGGUCCAAGCGUUAAUCGGAAUUACUGGGCGUAAAGCGCGCGUAGGUGGUUUAUUAAGUUGGGUGUGAAAUCCCCGGGCUCAACCUGGGAACUGCAUCCAAAACUGAUUCACUAGAGUACGAUAGAGGGAGGUAGAAUUCACAGUGUAGCGGUGGAAUGCGUAGAUAUUGUGAAGAAUACCAAUGGCGAAGGCAGCCUCCUGGAUCUGUACUGACACUGAGGUGCGAAAGCGUGGGUAGCGAACAGGAUUAGAUACU
This 760-nucleotide ribosomal RNA is filed under the name uncultured bacterium. Its description in RNAcentral is "bacterial SSU rRNA". It matches the Rfam family "Bacterial small subunit ribosomal RNA", at positions 31 to 786 of the family's 1533-position model. The record is from RNAcentral.